RNAcentral lists this ribosomal RNA (114 nucleotides) under Nannospalax galili (Upper Galilee mountains blind mole rat). Lineage: Eukaryota; Metazoa; Chordata; Mammalia; Rodentia; Spalacidae. The record is from RNAcentral.
GUCUAUAGCUAUACCACCCUGAAGGUGCCUGAUCUGAUCUUGGAAACUAAGCAGAGUUAGUCCUGGUUAGUAUGUGAAUGGGAGACUGCCUGGAAAUAUCAGGUGCUGUAGACU